This 250-nucleotide ribosomal RNA is filed under the name uncultured bacterium. RNAcentral's name for it is "partial 16S ribosomal RNA". It matches the Rfam family "Bacterial small subunit ribosomal RNA", at positions 524 to 773 of the family's 1533-position model. The record is from RNAcentral.
UACAGAGGGUGCAAGCGUUAAUCGGAAUUACUGGGCGUAAAGGGUGCGUAGGUGGUUUUUUAAGUCAGAUGUGAAAUCCCUGGGCUCAACCUAGGAAUUGCAUUUGAUACUGAAUAACUUGAGUGUGGUAGAGGGAAGUGGAAUUUCCGGUGUAGCGGUGAAAUGCGUAGAUAUCGGAAGGAACAUCAGUGGCGAAGGCGACUUCCUGGACCACUACUGACACUGAGGCACGAAAGCGUGGGGAGCGAAC